AACGAACGCUGGCGGCAGGCUUAACACAUGCAAGUCGAACGCCCCGCAAGGGGAGUGGCAGACGGGUGAGUAACGCGUGGGAAUCUACCCAGAUCUUCGGAACAACUGAGGGAAACUUCAGCUAAUACCGGAUACGCCCUACGGGGAAAGAGAUUAUCGGUUCUGGAUGAGCCCGCGUUGGAUUAGCUAGUUGGUGGGGUAAUGGCCUACCAAGGCGACGAUCCAUAGCUGGUCUGAGAGGAUGAUCAGCCACACUGGGACUGAGACACGGCCCAGACUCCUACGGGAGGCAGCAGUGGGGAAUAUUGGACAAUGGGCGAAAGCCUGAUCCAGCCAUGCCGCGUGAGUGAUGAAGGGCCUUAGGGUUGUAAAGCUCUUUCAGUGGGGAAGAUAAUGACGGUACCCCACAGAAGAAGCCCCGGCUAACUUCGUGCCAGCAGCCGCGGUAAUACGAAGGGGGCUAGCGUUGUUCGGAUUUACUGGGCGUAAAGCGCACGUAGGCGGAUCGUUAA
RNAcentral lists this ribosomal RNA (512 nucleotides) under uncultured bacterium. RNAcentral describes it as "bacterial SSU rRNA". It matches the Rfam family "Bacterial small subunit ribosomal RNA", at positions 28 to 586 of the family's 1533-position model. The record is from RNAcentral.